This 73-nucleotide transfer RNA is filed under the name Trichonephila inaurata madagascariensis. It matches the Rfam family "tRNA". From Rfam's summary of the family: Transfer RNA (tRNA) molecules are approximately 80 nucleotides in length. Their secondary structure includes four short double-helical elements and three loops (D, anti-codon, and T loops). Further hydrogen bonds mediate the characteristic L-shaped molecular structure. tRNAs have two regions of fundamental functional importance: the anti-codon, which is responsible for specific mRNA codon recognition, and the 3' end, to which the tRNAs corresponding amino acid is attached (by aminoacyl-tRNA synthetases). tRNAs cope with the degeneracy of the genetic code in two manners: having more than one tRNA (with a specific anti-codon) for a particular amino acid; and 'wobble' base-pairing, i.e. permitting non-standard base-pairing at the 3rd anti-codon position. The record is from Rfam by way of RNAcentral. Lineage: Eukaryota; Metazoa; Arthropoda; Arachnida; Araneae; Nephilidae.
GUCCCUGUGGCGCAGUGAAUAGCUUAUUGGACUUCUAAUCCAAAGGGCGUGGGUUUGAAUCCUACCUGGGAUG